RNAcentral lists this unclassified non-coding RNA (496 nucleotides) under Casaregolazyma lundiana. RNAcentral describes it as "partial contains ITS1, 5.8S rRNA and ITS2". The stretch from base 158 to 309 matches the Rfam family "5.8S ribosomal RNA". The record is from RNAcentral. Lineage: Eukaryota; Fungi; Ascomycota; Dipodascomycetes; Dipodascales; Trichomonascaceae.
UCUUUACACACUAGUGAAUAUUAAGAUUUUUUGUUUGGGGAUGUGAGUGAUAAUAGUACGAAAGUAAGUACAUUUGGAACUUGUAUCCCCGAAUUUUGAAUUUAAACACUUUUGUUGAAAACCAAAUCUGAAAAAAAUGUUUUAAAAAUUAAAUUAAAACUUUCAACAACGGAUCUCUUGGUUCUCGCAUCGAUGAAGAACGCAGCAAAAUGCGAUAAGUAAUGUGAAUUGCAGAAUUGUGAAUCAUCGAAUUUUUGAACGCACAUUGCGCCUCUUGGUAUUCCAGGAGGCAUGCCUGUUUGAGCGUCAUUACUAAACUUAACAAAAGUAUUUUUGUAUUUUUGUUAGUAUUGAGAGAUGAGUUGUUACUACUACUAUAACUCUCUUUCGAAAUGUAUUGGUGUGACAAUAUUUUCUCAAGUUAAAAACGAAUUAGGUUUUUAAAUCGUUUUCCAAUGGGAGAUAUUUUUCAAGUUUCACCUUAAAAAUAUCAUAA